UACAGAGGUGGCAAGCGUUGUUCGGAAUUACUGGGCGUAAAGGGCGCGUAGGCGGCCCUUCAAGUCCUGUGUGAAAUCCCUCGGCUCAACUGGGGAACUGCACAGGAUACUGUUUGGCUUGAGUUCGGGAGAGGGAAGCGGAAUUCCGGGUGUAGCGGUGAAAUGCGUAGAUAUCCGGAGGAACACCGGUGGCGAAGGCGGCUUCCUGGACCGACACUGACGCUGAGGCGCGAAAGCUAGGGGAGCAAACGGG
This 253-nucleotide unclassified non-coding RNA is filed under the name uncultured Acidobacteriota bacterium. RNAcentral describes it as "uncultured Acidobacteria bacterium contains 16S-23S intergenic spacer region". It matches the Rfam family "Bacterial small subunit ribosomal RNA", at positions 524 to 776 of the family's 1533-position model. The record is from RNAcentral. Lineage: Bacteria; Pseudomonadati; Acidobacteriota.